Nicotiana tabacum (common tobacco) is the source of this 1562-nucleotide non-coding RNA. NCBI's taxonomy places the organism in Eukaryota, Viridiplantae, Streptophyta, Magnoliopsida, Solanales, Solanaceae. The record is from RefSeq and is a predicted model, not a curated record.
AAAGAAAAAAAGUUAGGUUGUAGUAUGUUUAGUGGACUUUGUUGUCUCCAUAUUAUUCCCUUGCAUUAGUAUUGUGCCUUUGUUAGUGCUUAGUGUUAUUACUUCUCUCUCUAUUUUUCUGGUUAUUACGUUGUUGGAUCUUUCUGGAUUUCUUUGCUGUUGCUAAUACACUUUCUUUUUCUUUCUUCUUGUACCGAGGAUCUACCGGACUAGGAAGCAAAUAGUUUUGGAGGAUGACCAGAGUAGUCCCCAAGCUCAACCUUUAGAGACCAUGCAACUCAAUUUUGUUGAUGAACCAGAAGAUGUUCUGACUGUAAUUUCGGAUGUGAAAGUUGCUGAACCAUCUCUAAUACUGGCCACAGACCUGAUUGAAGAGUUGUUUGAUCAAUGGUUCGGGGACCAUGGUGGUGAAGACCAUCAUGUUGAUCUUAUUAAUGAAGGUCAACUUCCCACAGCUCCAACUUAGUGCCUUCCGUCCCUGUUCAAAACAAAGUUGGCCCUUCUCAAGAAAGGAAGGGGCACGUGAUGGUGAAAGUCCUGGAAAAUAUAAAUCUUGUAAAGAGACCUGACCGGGCUUGUGUAUGGCUAAAACCAGUCAUUGGACCUCUUGAGAAAGAAAAGUUGUAGUCGCAUUGUUUAAUUACCCUUGCAAAUGAUAUUGUUCAUUCAGCUCUUACGAGUUUAUGCGAAGGAUUGCUUGGACUGGACAACAAGUGGAAAAAUUAUCCGCGGAGGCUUAUAACUAGAAAGCACAAUUUGAAUGCCUUUAGUUUGAGAAGGAGGAGUGAGACAAAGAAAAGGAACUUCUGCAACAACUGCUCCAGUUGACAACCGUUGAGUUAGGUACGAUGAAGGCCGAGGCAAGACAAGCAGAGAAAGAAAUGGUUAAAAUGGAGGCUAGCUCUACUAAGCAACACUCCAGGGCCACAAAGGAGAUUCGAAGGUUGAAAGACUUCUUGACCAAAAAGAGAUAUACACAGGUGAACUAGUUCAGGAGUUUACUCAAGCCAAAGAGGAUCUCCGUGCCUCUUCUAAAAGGAUUCAAUUCCUCGAGUAUUCCUUGGAACCUUUGAAAGUUUCUUAUGAUGUUGCUGAAGUAGAGAAGGUGAACUUACAAGCUGAAGUUGAUCAAUGGAGAGAAGUAUGAUGCCCUCAAGGGCAAAUUGACUAUGGAUGUAAGCUGAGCAUAUCUCCAUACUCGCUUUGUCACUUUGACUUAAGCCAGUCAAGAAGGUUUUGACCAUGAUGCUGCACUUAUAAAGGCUAAGGAAGCCAUUGAAGUAUCUCAGCAAGGUCAAAAUUUCCCUAAUCCUGAAGAAGAGUGUUCUAGGGGUGGUAUAGGUAAAGAAGAUGUGGAGGAAAAACCUCACCCUCCAUCUUCGAGUCCCCAAGCUAAUCCUUCUCAACCUGCCUAUCCUUUCCCAGUUGUUACUCCUUCACAACAAGUCGUUUCUCUAGAUCAUUAGCUUUUAUUAUUUUCAAGUGUUUUUAUCUAUCUUUGAAAUAUUUUUUGCAAACUUUCCUUGCCUUUAAUACAAGUUUUCUUUACUUUGCUAGUUCAA